UACGUAGGGGGCAAGCGUUGUCCGGAAUUAUUGGGGGUAAAGAGCGUGUAGGCGGUCCGGUAAGUCAGCUGUGAAAGUCAAGGGCUCAACCCUUGAAAGCCGGUUGAUACUGUCGGGCUAGAGUCCGGAAGAGGCGAGUGGAAUUCCCGGUGUAGCGGUGAAAUGCGCAGAUAUCGGGAGGAACACCAAUGGCGAAGGCAGCUCGCUGGGACGGUACUGACGCUGAGACGCGAAAGCGUGGGGAGCAAACAGG
This 253-nucleotide ribosomal RNA is filed under the name uncultured bacterium. Its description in RNAcentral is "partial 16S ribosomal RNA". It matches the Rfam family "Bacterial small subunit ribosomal RNA", at positions 524 to 776 of the family's 1533-position model. The record is from RNAcentral.